AGCAGCCGCGGUAAUUCCAGCUCCAAUAGCGUAUAUUAAAGUUGUUGCAGUUAAAAAGCUCGUAGUUGAAUUUCGGGGUUAGUAGGCUGGUCGUGCCACUGGUACGUACUGGUCUCACUGACUCCUCCUUCCUGAUGAACUGUAAUGCCAUUAAUUUGGUGUUGCAGGGAAACUGGACUGUUACUUUGAAAAAUUAGAGUGUUUAAAGCAAGCUAACGCUUGAAUACAUUAGCAUGGAAUAAUGAAAUAGGACGUUCGAUCCUAUUUUGUUGGUUUCUAGGAUUGACGUAAUGAUUAAUAGGGAUAGUUGGGGGCUAUUAGUAUUCAAUUGUCAGAGGUGAAAUUCUUGGAUUUAUUGAAGACUAACUACUGCG
RNAcentral lists this ribosomal RNA (374 nucleotides) under uncultured Glomeromycotina. RNAcentral's name for it is "SSU rRNA". It matches the Rfam family "Eukaryotic small subunit ribosomal RNA", at positions 569 to 947 of the family's 1831-position model. Lineage: Eukaryota; Fungi; Glomeromycota. The record is from RNAcentral.